Ribosomal RNA from Ochotona princeps (American pika), 110 nucleotides. The record is from Ensembl. NCBI's taxonomy places the organism in Eukaryota, Metazoa, Chordata, Mammalia, Lagomorpha, Ochotonidae.
GUCUACAGCCAUACCACCCUGAAUGCGCCCGAUCUCAUCUGAUCUCGGACGCUAAGCAGGGCCUGGCCUGGUUAGAACUUGGAUGGGAGAAAUGGCCAGUGUUGCGGCUU